This 401-nucleotide ribosomal RNA is filed under the name uncultured bacterium. Its description in RNAcentral is "bacterial SSU rRNA". It matches the Rfam family "Bacterial small subunit ribosomal RNA", at positions 975 to 1375 of the family's 1533-position model. The record is from RNAcentral.
CAGGCCUUGACAUCCAAUGAACUUUCCAGAGAUGCUUUGGUGCCUUCGGGAACUCUGAGACAGGUGCUGCAUGGCUGUCGUCAGCUCGUGUUGUGAAGUGUUGGGUUAAGUCCCGCAACGAGCGCAACCCUUAUCCUUUGUUGCCAGCGGUUCGGCCGGGAACUCAAAGGAGACUGCCAGUGAUAAACUGGAGGAAGGUGGGGAUGACGUCAAGUCAUCAUGGCCCUUACGAGUAGGGCUACACACGUGCUACAAUGGCGCAUACAAAGAGAAGCGACCUCGCGAGGGCAAGCGGACCUCAUAAAGUGCGUCGUAGUCCGGAUCGGAGUCUGCAACUCGACUCCGCGAAGUCGGAGUCGCUAGUAAUCGCAGAUCAGCAACGCUGCGGUGAAUACGUUCCC